RNAcentral lists this ribosomal RNA (328 nucleotides) under uncultured eukaryote. RNAcentral's name for it is "partial 18S ribosomal RNA". It matches the Rfam family "Eukaryotic small subunit ribosomal RNA", at positions 1470 to 1796 of the family's 1831-position model. The record is from RNAcentral.
CCCUUAGAUGUUCUGGGCCGCACGCGCGCUACACUGAUGCAUUCAACGAGCCUAGCCUUGACCGAGAGGUCCGGGUAAUCUUUGAAACUGCAUCGUGAUGGGGCUAGAUUAUUGCAAUUAUUAAUCUUCAACGAGGAAUGCCUAGUAAGCGUGAUUCAUCAAAUCGCGUUGAUUACGUCCCUGCCCUUUGUACACACCGCCCGUCGCUCCUACCGAUUGAAUGGUCCGGUGAAAUGUUCGGACCGCGACAAGGCGGACGGUUCGCUGUCAGCUUUGCUGCGGGAAGUUCAUUAAACCUUAUCAUUUAGAGGAAGGAGAAGUCGUAACA